CAAAGAAUAGUUUAGCUUAGAAUCCUAGCUUUGGGAGUUAGGGGUGGGAGUUAGAGUCUCCUUUCUUGA
Molecule: transfer RNA, 69 nt
Filed under: Lycodes ygreknotatus
Lineage: Eukaryota; Metazoa; Chordata; Actinopteri; Perciformes; Zoarcidae
Description: tRNA-Pro
Rfam family: tRNA
About the family: Transfer RNA (tRNA) molecules are approximately 80 nucleotides in length. Their secondary structure includes four short double-helical elements and three loops (D, anti-codon, and T loops).
Source: RNAcentral